This 230-nucleotide ribosomal RNA is filed under the name Escherichia coli. RNAcentral's name for it is "partial 16S ribosomal RNA". It matches the Rfam family "Bacterial small subunit ribosomal RNA", at positions 61 to 287 of the family's 1533-position model. The record is from RNAcentral. Lineage: Bacteria; Pseudomonadati; Pseudomonadota; Gammaproteobacteria; Enterobacterales; Enterobacteriaceae.
GUCGAACGGUAACAGGAAUCAGCUUGCUGAUUCGCUGACGAGUGGCGGACGGGUGAGUAAUGUCUGGGAAACUGCCCGAUGGAGGGGGAUAACUACUGGAAACGGUAGCUAAUACCGCAUAACGUCGCAAGACCAAAGAGGGGGACCUUCGGGCCUCUUGCCAUCGGAUGUGCCCAGAUGGGAUUAGCUAGUAGGUGGGGUAAAGGCUCACCUAGGCGACGAUCCCUAGC